This 462-nucleotide ribosomal RNA is filed under the name uncultured Ferroplasma sp. Its description in RNAcentral is "bacterial SSU rRNA". It matches the Rfam family "Archaeal small subunit ribosomal RNA", at positions 891 to 1354 of the family's 1478-position model. The record is from RNAcentral. Lineage: Archaea; Methanobacteriati; Thermoplasmatota; Thermoplasmata; Thermoplasmatales; Ferroplasmaceae.
GAAUGUGCGGUUUAAUUGGAUUCAACGCCGGAAAACUCACCGGGAACGACCUGUGGAUGAGAGUCAACCUGACGAGUUUACUCGAUAGCAGGAGAGGUGGUGCAUGGCCGUCGUCAGCUCGUACCGUAGGGCGUUCACUUAAGUGUGAUAACGAGCGAGACCCACAUCUCUAAUUGCUAAUGUAUAUGCGAAUAUGCAUGCACUUUAGAGAGACCGCCAUCGCUAAGAUGGAGGAAGGAGCGGUCGACGGCAGGUCAGUACGCCCCGAAUUUCCCGGGCUACACGCGCAUUACAAAGAACGGGACAAUGCGUUGCAACCUCGAAAGGGGAAGCUAAUCGCGAAACCCGUCCAUAGCUAGGAUUGAGGGCUGUAACUCGCCCUCAUGAAUCUGGAUUCCGUAGUAAUCGCGGGUCAACAACCCGCGGUGAACAUGCCCCUGCUCCUUGCACACACCGCCCGUC